RNAcentral lists this ribosomal RNA (331 nucleotides) under uncultured eukaryote. RNAcentral's name for it is "partial 18S ribosomal RNA". It matches the Rfam family "Eukaryotic small subunit ribosomal RNA", at positions 1470 to 1796 of the family's 1831-position model. The record is from RNAcentral.
CCCUUAGAUGUUCUGGGCCGCACGCGCGCUACACUGACGAAUUCAACGAGUUUAUAACCUUUGCUGGGAGGCAUGGGUAAUCUUGUGAACGUUCGUCGUGAUGGGGAUAGAUUAUUGCAAUUGUUAAUCUUCAACGAGGAAUUCCUAGUAAACGCAAGUCAUCAGCUUGCAUUGAUUACGUCCCUGCCCUUUGUACACACCGCCCGUCGCACCUACCGAUUGAAUGGUCCGGUGAAUUCUUCGGACUGCGGCUUUGACUCGAUUUCGGUUGAGGCGUUGCUGCGGGAAGUUGAUUAAACCUUACCAUUUAGAGGAAGGUGAAGUCGUAACA